RNAcentral lists this long non-coding RNA (446 nucleotides) under Pan troglodytes (chimpanzee). RNAcentral's name for it is "long non-coding RNA NONPTRT012774". Lineage: Eukaryota; Metazoa; Chordata; Mammalia; Primates; Hominidae. The record is from RNAcentral.
AAGUGACACAAGGGAGUACAGAUCCUCUUCAGCAUGACCAAGGACAGAACCCAGAGGGCUAACAAAGAAGCACCAUGGAGUUGGUACACAGACCUCUGAGAGCGGAUCCUAAAUGGCUAUCGCUGCUACCUGGCAUCUCACCAGAGAACUGGUCCUGGAAGCUGUCAAGGAAGGUUGAAGCUUUUAACUGCUACUGACCAAUACAGGAAAAACAGAAAUGUAAAGAAGUCAGCUAUCAGACUCCGGAAACCCAAACAAUUUUCUGAUGAAGGAGAGGCGUGGUAUGACAAUUGGCCCUGAGCUCCGCACAAGCAAUCACCAAGAUUCACUGAUUCUGCAGCUGUAGAAUCAACUCCCAGACUAAGUUAUCUAAGAAUUAAACCUCAAAUCUUCCACACUAAAAUCACCUUUAAAAACAUAAGCUCUUUAAAAAAAAUAAUAUUAAG